AUUUAUAUAGUUUAAAAUAAAACCUUACAUUUUCAUUGUAAAAAUAAAAUACUACUAUUUUUAUAAAUU
This 69-nucleotide transfer RNA is filed under the name Exorista sorbillans. RNAcentral describes it as "tRNA-Glu". The record is from RNAcentral. Lineage: Eukaryota; Metazoa; Arthropoda; Insecta; Diptera; Tachinidae.